RNAcentral lists this ribosomal RNA (253 nucleotides) under uncultured bacterium. Its description in RNAcentral is "partial 16S ribosomal RNA". It matches the Rfam family "Bacterial small subunit ribosomal RNA", at positions 524 to 776 of the family's 1533-position model. The record is from RNAcentral.
UACAGAGGGGGCAAGCGUUGUUCGGAAUUACUGGGCGUAAAGGGCGCGUAGGCGGCCUGCUAAGUCGAACGUGAAAUCCCCGAGCUCAACUCGGGAACUGCGUCCGAUACUGGCAGGCUUGAAUCCGGGAGAGGGAUGCGGAAUUCCAGGUGUAGCGGUGAAAUGCGUAGAUAUCGAGAGGAACACCUGCGGCGAAGGCGGGUUGCUGGGCUGACACUGACGCUGAGGCGCGAAAGCCAGGGGAGCAAACGGG